UCUAAUGUGGCAGAUAAGUGCAAUGGAUUUAAGCUCCAUAUAUAAAGGACUUCCCUUUCAUUAGAAU
Molecule: transfer RNA, 67 nt
Filed under: Neuroperla schedingi
Lineage: Eukaryota; Metazoa; Arthropoda; Insecta; Plecoptera; Eustheniidae
Description: tRNA-Leu
Source: RNAcentral